Molecule: ribosomal RNA, 492 nt
Filed under: uncultured bacterium
Lineage: Bacteria
Description: partial 16S ribosomal RNA
Rfam family: Bacterial small subunit ribosomal RNA
Source: RNAcentral
AGUGAACGCUGGCGGUAGGCCUAACACAUGCAAGUCGAACGGCAGCACAGUAAGAGCUUGCUCUUACGGGUGGCGAGUGGCGGACGGGUGAGGAAUACAUCGGAAUCUACUUUUUCGUGGGGGAUAACGUAGGGAAACUUACGCUAAUACCGCAUACGACCUACGGGUGAAAGCAGGGGAUCUUCGGACCUUGCGCGAUUGAAUGAGACGAUGUCGGAUUAGCUAGUUGGCGGGGUAAAGGCCCACCAAGGCGACGAUCCGUAGCUGGUCUGAGAGGAUGAUCAGCCACACUGGAACUGAGACACGGCCCAGACUCCUACGGGAGGCAGCAGUGGGGAAUAUUGGACAAUGGGCGCAAGCCUGAUCCAGCCAUACCGCGUGGGUGAAGAAGGCCUUCGGGUUGUAAAGCCCUUUUGUUGGGAAAGAAAAGCAGCAGGUGAAUACCCCGCUGUUCUGACGGUACCCAAAGAAUAAGCACCGGCUAACUUCGUG